RNAcentral lists this ribosomal RNA (492 nucleotides) under uncultured bacterium. Its description in RNAcentral is "partial 16S ribosomal RNA". It matches the Rfam family "Bacterial small subunit ribosomal RNA", at positions 29 to 507 of the family's 1533-position model. The record is from RNAcentral.
AGUGAACGCUGGCGGUAGGCCUAACACAUGCAAGUCGAACGGCAGCUCAGUAAGAGCUUGCUCUUACGGGUGGCGAGUGGCGGACGGGUGAGGAAUACAUCGGAAUCUACUUUUUCGUGGGGGAUAACGUAAGGAAACUUACGCUAAUACCGCAUACGACCUACGGGUGAAAGCAGGGGAUCUUCGGACCUUGCGCGAUUGAAUGAGCCGAUGUCGGAUUAGCUAGUUGGCGGGGUAAAGGCCCACCAAGGCGACGAUCCGUAGCUGGUCUGAGAGGAUGAUCAGCCACACUGGAACUGAGACACGGUCCAGACUCCUACGGGAGGCAGCAGUGGGGAAUAUUGGACAAUGGGCGCAAGCCUGAUCCAGCCAUACCGCGUGGGUGAAGAAGGCCUUCGGGUUGUAAAGCCCUUUUGUUGGGAAAGAAAAGCAGCAGGUUAAUACCCCGCUGUUCUGACGGUACCCAAAGAAUAAGCACCGGCUAACUUCGUG